This 253-nucleotide ribosomal RNA is filed under the name uncultured bacterium. Its description in RNAcentral is "partial 16S ribosomal RNA". It matches the Rfam family "Bacterial small subunit ribosomal RNA", at positions 524 to 776 of the family's 1533-position model. The record is from RNAcentral.
UACGGGGGGGGCAAGCGUUGUUCGGAAUUACUGGGCGUAAAGGGCUCGUAGGCGGCCAACUAAGUCGGAUGUGAAAUCCCCAGGCUUAACCUGGGAACUGCAUCCGAUACUGGAUGGCUUGAAUCCGGGAGAGGGAUGCAGAAUUCCAGGUGUAGCGGUGAAAUGCGUAGAUAUCUGGAGGAACACCGGUGGCGAAGGCGGCAUCCUGGACCAAUACUGACGCUGAGGUGCGAAAGCGUGGGGAGCAAACAGG